Long non-coding RNA from Triticum aestivum (bread wheat), 406 nucleotides. RefSeq lists it as uncharacterized. Lineage: Eukaryota; Viridiplantae; Streptophyta; Magnoliopsida; Poales; Poaceae. The transcript has 3 exons. The record is from RefSeq and is a predicted model, not a curated record.
GAAGAAGAAGAAGAGGAAACCGGUGAAGAAAGCUUCAGCAAAGGUGACUGAAGUUAUUAUGAUGACUCGGGGGAGAAAGAGAAAAGAGAACAAUGACGAAGUGUGUGCUAAGAACAAAAGACCUUUCAAGAAAACGGCUGGAAAGUCUAAGUAGACAGACAAAGAUGACAAGGGGGACAAAGAAAAGAUGACAAUAAAUCCAAUUUUUGUUUCCCAUUAUUCUGUCGAAUUAUUGGUCACAAGUGUUAUACAUUCAGUUUUUUACUAUGGAAUUUAUCAUCAGAGUUAUAUUUGUACUAUGGAAGUUAUCAUCAGAGCUAUUGGAUGUGUGUGUCCUUGUGAACUUGUGAUUAUGUGCUAUGCUAAAUGCUAUGGGAACUAAACCUGUGAACAUGUUCUAUUUGAA